RNAcentral lists this ribosomal RNA (449 nucleotides) under uncultured bacterium. RNAcentral's name for it is "partial 16S ribosomal RNA". It matches the Rfam family "Bacterial small subunit ribosomal RNA", at positions 330 to 795 of the family's 1533-position model. The record is from RNAcentral.
UCCAGACUCCUACGGGAGGCAGCAGUGGGGGAUAUUGCACAAUGGGGGGAACCCUGAUGCAGCGACGCCGCGUGGGUGAAGGAGCGUUUCGGCGCGUAAAGCCCUAUCGGCAGGGAAGAAGGAGGACGGUACCUGACUAAGAAGCCCCGGCUAACUACGUGCCAGCAGCCGCGGUAAUACGUAGGGGGCAAGCGUUAUCCGGAUUUACUGGGUGUAAAGGGGGCGCAGACGGCAGCGCAAGCCAGGAGUGAAAGCCCGGGGCCCAACCCCGGGACUGCUCUUGGAACUGCGCGGCUGGAGUGCAGGAGGGGCAGGCGGAAUUCCUGGUGUAGCGGUGAAAUGCGUAGAUAUCAGGAGGAACACCGGUGGCGAAGGCGGCCUGCUGGACUGCGACUGACGUUGAGGCCCGAAAGCGUGGGGAGCAAACAGGAUUAGAUACCCGAGUAUUC